This is a non-coding RNA of Ixodes scapularis (black-legged tick), 74 nucleotides long. NCBI's taxonomy places the organism in Eukaryota, Metazoa, Arthropoda, Arachnida, Ixodida, Ixodidae. The record is from Rfam.
GUCGGGAUGGUCUACUCGGUUAAGGCGUCGCCCCGGACAGGCGACGGUUGCGGGUUCAAUCCCCGCUCCUGGCC